RNAcentral lists this ribosomal RNA (482 nucleotides) under uncultured bacterium. RNAcentral's name for it is "bacterial SSU rRNA". It matches the Rfam family "Bacterial small subunit ribosomal RNA", at positions 32 to 490 of the family's 1533-position model. The record is from RNAcentral.
AAUCAACGCUGGCGGCGUGCCUAACACAUGCAAGUCGAACGCGAAAGUGGAGCAAUCCAUGAGUAGAGUGGCAAACGGGUGAGUAACACGUGGGUGACCUGCCUUCGAGUGGGGGAUAACGUCCCGAAAGGGACGCUAAUACCGCAUGACAUCCUGCCUUUGGAAAGGCGGAGAUCAAAGCUGGGGAUCGCAAGACCUGGCGCUUGAAGAGGGGCCCGCGCCNGAUUAGCUAGUUGGUGAGGUAACGGCUCACCAAGGCCACGAUCAGUAUCCGGCCUGAGAGGGUGAUCGGCCACACUGGAACUGAGACACGGUCCAGACUCCUACGGGAGGCAGCAGUGGGGAAUUUUGCGCAAUGGGCUAACGCCUGACGCAGCAACGCCGCGUGGAGGAUGAAGGUCUUUGGAUUGUAAACUCCUGUCAGCAGGGAAAAAGCAACUCGGCCUAACACGCCGGGGAGUUGAUUGUACCUGCAGAGGAAG